This is a long non-coding RNA of Callithrix jacchus (white-tufted-ear marmoset), 2854 nucleotides long. NCBI's taxonomy places the organism in Eukaryota, Metazoa, Chordata, Mammalia, Primates, Cebidae. The record is from Ensembl.
UGGGUACUCCUGGGCCUCCAGAAGGCACCCUGUGCAGACUCACUCCCAGCCCUGACUCAUUCCUCAGCUCUCCUUGAAGACCAUCAUCAACAAGUCUUAGCUUAGCCUCUCCCUGGGGCUUGCCCUAUUGAAAUGCUCCCCUGGACACUCACCUGCGGCCACAGGUGCCAGGAGGGGACAGCAUCAAAGACAGUGGAGCCCUUCCUGGGCUUCAGCUGUCUGUUUCUUAAAGUAGCUUAAAUUACACACACUGCAAAGUCCAAGAAUUAAUUUUUUUCAAUUAAAAAAUAUUUUUAGAGAGUUGUAGGUUCACAUGCAACAGUAAGAAAUAAUACAGAGAUUCUCGUUUCCCCCAGUAAUAACAUCUUGCAUAAGAAUAGUUGUCAUAACCAGAAAUUAACAUUGAUCCAACCAGCCACUUUAUUCAGAUUUCACCAGUUUCACACUCACUUGUGUGUGUGUGUGUGUGUGUGUGUGUGUGUGGUUCCAUGCAGUUAUAUCACGUGUCCAGUCAUGUGACUCCACAGUCGAGAAACAGAGCAUUUCCAUCACCAGGAGGGUUCCUGGUGUUACCUUUCUAAUUGUUCUCUUCUCAGCCAGGUGUGUGCAGGUGAUACCUGAGAGGCACCGAGUAUGACUGCAUCAUGGCAAAUGGUGUCAGCAUGUGGAUGGCUCCAGGAUUCAGGGAACAUGCGACCGCAGAUUCACAGAUCACCCGGUGUCAGCCGUGUGUAAAGCAGAAGGACCAGUCCAGCAGUCACUCACUCCUCAGGGAAGAUGGCUUCCUGUGUGUGAACUUCCACUUUGACCCAAGGCUUCCCCAGCUGGCCUGGAGUCCCCACAGACCUGGGAGAUUGAUGCAUGGUUCCAUGUGGCCAUAGAACCUCCUUCCUGGAUGCAGGAUUUCUAGGUGUGAAUCUGGGAGAGCUGUUCCUGGAGCCCCUGGCCCAUGAGGCUCAGAUCCUUGAUGCACAGCCUGCUUCUAAGCCUCAUGGACUUUGACUCACUGUGAUUCCCCCACGGUGACCUCAUCAGCUUAUCUCAGGCUCAAAAACAUGCCAGCACUGCUCUUAACUUUAUAAGUGUUGGCAAGGUGUCAGACACUUGGUUUUCACAAAUGUCUUUGUCCCCUUAAAUUCCAGGGGAGGUGCCAAAAAGUGGCAUCCUAUCCACAGCCCAGGACUUGGAGGAAGUUACUUCUCACACUUGCCAACUCAGGUGUUUGAAGAACUGAGGUAGUGUUCUAAGCUGUUUGUGUGUAUUCUCUCAAUCCUCACAGAAUCCCAAUCAGGUAGGGGCUAUCAUCUCCACAUUUUGUUAAUGUGGAAACUAAGGAACAGAGAGGUUGAGUAAAUUAUCCCAAACUACACAGCUAAUUGAGGGAGUUUGAGGCUGUCCCAAAUGACAAUGAUGGCUCCCAAUUGCUUCAACUUGGUAUUCAAGACUAUGUCUACCAUACAGACUUUUUCUCUUUCUUUCCCUGACAACUUCCUCCUAGUUACUGAGUUAGAAUUUCAAGAGAAAAAUAAAUAAGAUAGAGGAUUUGAUCACCCUUUCGCUGUAUGUCCUUUUAAUUCUCCAACUCAGGGUGGAGGCAUGGGGGGCAGCUCAGGGUCGAGGUGGGGCAGAGGUGUCACAUACAGUGGGAAUUCAGGGGGGAUUCCCAGUUAGCAGCUCCAUUGCUCCCCAAAUGUGCCUAUUUGGCCCAGAAGAGCAGAGAGGAUCCUUGCGGGAGUGUCUCACCUCCUACUUGAAAGCCCUGGCCUGAACUCUCCUGCCUGUGUCCUGUGGACCCAGGCUGAGCCCUGAGACGGAGAUGAGCUGAGCUCCUCUGUGGGCAGUCACAGCCCAUCCCCAUAGGUACAGAGGAGACCCAGUGGGGAGAGCUCUUACCCUGCUGCCACCACCAAACUCGUGAAACUGGGUGCUGAGGGCAGGCUGACCGGGGAACCUGAACAUCCUAACAGCAAUGGACACACUUGGAUGAGUUUCACACCAAGAACUGCUGAGUACUGGGUAGGCUGGAUGGAGCAGAGAUGCUUCAACAGCCUGGGCUAGAAGUGGGCCUGACAGGGUAGAAAGAGGCUCAUGGGGUGGGAUUUGGGACUCCUCAGCCAGGCCCAGGGUGUCUGUGUACAAUGAGAGGAAUGGCUUCUGCUGCAAGACACAGGCUGGGCUCAGAGAACCAAAUGCAGAUGGAAAGGGUGGGGAGCAGCGGGCGGCUCAGAGGCAGGACUUGGGUCUCUUCCAGAGCUUCUAUGGGUCUGUCUCCCUGUCUCUUGGUGCAGGGGGCUGAGCCCUAUUCCACAGUAAUGAUGAGGGAGGGACUAAUCAAAGUGUAUGUGCCUUAGAGACCCUAUCUUCUCACCAAGCGUUGGGGCCAUGGUCUCCCCUACAUCCCUCCCACACCCACAGGUGCCCUGGGGUCAGGCGAACAAUGGGUAGAGAAGCCUAGUGAGCUGAAGAACCCUGAUCUUGGAGUUGUCCCUGCAAUCCCAUCAGAGGCCUUGACUCAGAGCUGCACACCUGCACCGGCUGAAGGAACAGGACCCCGGGCUGCAGGGGGCAGGCCACCUCGGAACCCUCUUCACUGAAGCACUGGAGCCUGGGCGGGUUUCCAUCAGCCAAGUCAAGUAAUUGAGCUCAGAUUAGAUUAAAUCCAGACACAUCCCAUGUUUAGUGCCAAUUACUCACAGCCAGCAGGGGCGGACGAGGGGUCUGGACUGUGUCACGUCGUGCCUUCUUGGAGGCUGACUGCUCCCUCCAGCUCAAGGUGAGCUGACCCAAAAUAACAACAGUCGUGUCUCUGGCUGUGUUUCACCUCCACCUGGCGCUUUGCAUGGAUCUUCUGCUG